CAUGACACAGCAACAUUCACAACUUAAUAACUCAGAAUAACAUCCCUUCUGCCCUAAAGAAAUAAUCUGACAAAAUUAAAACAAGACUUUAUCCAGAGACUGUCCAAUUCAACAGUAACUUUCCACUCAACUGAAGAGGCUUUGGAUAAAGCCUUCAUGUGGAAAUCCAACAAAUUGAAGCAACACAAUAAAUGCUUGCUAUGAAUUCGGGGCUGUGGUCUUUAUUAUUUUGCAUUCAUUACUAAGCUAAGUAUUAUAUGCUUGCAUGGGAAUUUACAGGACUACAAAACAGGACAAAAUACUGUGGCACAUAAGGGCAGCUGGAUCAACCAGGAGGCCUUGAGCCAUCAGCCAGCCAGUAGGCGCUGAGCCGCGUUUGCACAAUGCCUUCCUUGACGAUGGCUUCCCCUCCCAUGCUGCUGCCUCCAGCAUGCUCUGCCUACCUCCGCCAUCCGCGACAACAUGUUUCACCACCAUCUGAAACGGAUCACAUGAGAGGAACUAGCAACAUCAGUUUGUGAUCUGGUGCUAUCUGAUCGAGUUCACCCUAGCUACCAGAUUCGUGUUUGAAGAUCUUCUGAAACCAAUUAAAGGGUGUUCUCCACCUGCUUCAUAUCAACUCUUUCGUUGCUGGUACCUUUUGUGAAUAAAUGUUUCACCAAAGUGGAGAGAACUUCCA
This 679-nucleotide long non-coding RNA is filed under the name Apteryx owenii (little spotted kiwi). RNAcentral's name for it is "lncRNA (ENSAOWG00000005953.1)". Lineage: Eukaryota; Metazoa; Chordata; Aves; Apterygiformes; Apterygidae. The record is from RNAcentral.